RNAcentral lists this ribosomal RNA (106 nucleotides) under uncultured bacterium. RNAcentral's name for it is "partial 16S ribosomal RNA". It matches the Rfam family "Bacterial small subunit ribosomal RNA", at positions 356 to 460 of the family's 1533-position model. The record is from RNAcentral.
GAGGAAUAUUGGACAAUGGAGGCAACUCUGAUCCAGCCAUGCCGCGUGCAGGAAGACUGCCCUAUGGGUUGUAAACUGCUUUUAUACGGGAAGAAACACUGCUACG